UUACUUCUUCUCCCUCUAUGUGUAAUACUGCUAAUACAGGUAAACAUUCUUUUGUGUCUAAAGCCAAUCAGAUGUGGAUUAUUGAUACAGGUGCAACUAAUCAUAUGGUCUCCAGUUUAGACAUGAUGAUUAAGGGGUCAGUGUCGCAGCUUGCAGAGUCUAAACCUAUCUAUCUUCCAAAUGGUAGCACUACUCAAGUUUCUCAUGUUGGAUGUUGUGCUUUAUCAGCAAGAAGUGUGAUCACUAAUGCACUGCACCUUCCUGAUUUCAACUACAAUUUGUUGUCAGUCAGUCAAAUCACAAAGGAGUUAGGAUGCUCAGUUACCUUCUUCCCUAAUUUCUGUGUUUUCCAGGAUCUUUGCAGUGGGAAGGUGAAGGAAGUUGGUAAGCAAGAAGGAGGUCUAUAUCUACUGAUACAACACUUAACAAAUAAAGAUGCACAUAGUGAAGAGGAGGUUGCAUUUGCUGUCAACAAUACAAAGGUCAUAGACAUGGAAUUGUGGCACAAAAGGUUGGGGC
RNAcentral lists this long non-coding RNA (519 nucleotides) under Solanum tuberosum (potato). RNAcentral describes it as "long non-coding RNA (STUB_LNC003427)". Lineage: Eukaryota; Viridiplantae; Streptophyta; Magnoliopsida; Solanales; Solanaceae. The record is from RNAcentral.